GCAACAAAGAUGGAGGCAGCAAACAAAUUGUGAAGGGAAGAGGCAUUGAAGAAGGCUGAGGCAGUGAAGGGGACGAGGUCUUGUCCUAAGCCUCCUCUCCGAAGUCCUCUUGCUCUUUCGCAGUGACGUCCUGGCCUGCCUUUCUGUCAGACUGCAUACUUGACAGUGGCAUUCACCGUGUUUUUGACCACACCGCAUAAAAAGUCUCAUGAAAGUCAACUUGCAGAACUGCUUCAGAACACGGCAAGGAGUACAGGG
RNAcentral lists this long non-coding RNA (258 nucleotides) under Fukomys damarensis (Damara mole-rat). RNAcentral's name for it is "lncRNA (ENSFDAG00000026658.1)". The record is from RNAcentral. Lineage: Eukaryota; Metazoa; Chordata; Mammalia; Rodentia; Bathyergidae.